UUGGUCUAGUUCUACCUUCUAGAAGCGGUAUAACUUUGUAACGCCUAAUAAACCCAGAAUACCAGCAAAUCUCGGCAAGUGCACCCACAUAGCAUCUCCGACCCUCCGUAUGUCCACCAUUUUAGAAAUCGGUGCCGCCACCUAUAGUUGGAGUCGCGAAUGGAGGGCGCGGUAGUCGGCGAAAAUGGCAGACGAAAGGAUGCCUGUUAUACAGUUUCGGUUGCAAGUUUCAGCGUAAAUAAUGUGUGCUGUAUAUUUUAGGUUAAUUUGAUUACUGAUUUUUCAGCACUAUUAUUUCUGCAGCUGUUUGACAUUCUUUUUUUGCUUGUGCACACACGACUGUUGGCACGUUGCCUUACGUUUCAAAGCGAAACGAGAGCGCAAGAAGCUCCGGGAUCAGGAGUGAGCUGCGGAAGAGGGCGAGGAAGAGGCGCCAGCGCGACCGAAGCAGCAGAGGGUGCCGAAGAAUCCUUGCCAGGAACGCGUGAUCAGGCCUGGCACGAAUGCGGUGCUCCCAGCUGAUGGAGAGGACAGAGAAAGCGUAAACGGCCAUGUCUUCGAAAUUCAGAAAGAACUCUGCAAGACGAGGCCCAACGUGGUUUAUGUGGCCCACGCCAUGGCAAGAACGUUCGCCUCACGGCGCCUCUGAGUGACGACGGAGCACCCGGCUGUCGCCACUCUCCUCUCUAUGUACCCAGCGUAUCAGCUUGGUACCAUCGUCUUGGUGUGGCAGGCCAAGGGGCACUCUUGGGCACUCUUUCGCAGAGGCAACAAGCAAGUCUGCUUUCUCAUUGCCAGGAAUACCCACGUGGCUUGGAACCCAGCAGAAUUUGAUCAGGUGUCCUUGCUGAAGAGCUCGAUUUAACUGAACCGGAAGACGUUGCACAAGAGGGUUCUUGUUGUCUGUUAAGGACGAAAUUGCUAGAAGAACGCUCUGGGAAUCGACAAACAGAAUUGCUUUCGUGAUAUUGUUCUCUAAUAAAUACUCC
Long non-coding RNA from Ixodes scapularis (black-legged tick), 989 nucleotides. RefSeq lists it as uncharacterized. The record is from RefSeq and is a predicted model, not a curated record. Lineage: Eukaryota; Metazoa; Arthropoda; Arachnida; Ixodida; Ixodidae. The transcript has 3 exons.